GUGGGGAAUCUUGCGCAAUGGGCGAAAGCCUGACGCAGCCAUGCCGCGUGGAUGAUGAAGGUCUUAGGAUUGUAAAAUCCUUUCACCGGUGAAGAUAAUGACUGUAGCCGGAGAAGAAGCCCCGGCUAACUUCGUGCCAGCAGCCGCGGUAAUACGAAGGGGGCUAGCGUUGCUCGGACUUACUGGGCGUAAAGGGAGCGUAGGCGGACAUUUAAGUCAGGGGUGAAAUCCCGAGGCUCAACCUCGGAACUGCCUUUGAUACUGGGUGUCUUGAGUGUGAGAGAGGUGAGUGGAACUCCGAGUGUAGAGGUGAAAUUCGUAGAUAUUCGGAAGAACACCAGUGGCGAAUGCGACUCACUGGCUCAUUACUGACGCUGAGGCUCGAAAGCGUGGGGAGCAAACAGGAUUAGAAACCCCUGUAGUCC
Molecule: ribosomal RNA, 425 nt
Filed under: uncultured bacterium
Lineage: Bacteria
Description: partial 16S ribosomal RNA
Rfam family: Bacterial small subunit ribosomal RNA
Source: RNAcentral